CAGCCGCCACGGGAAUACGAAGGGUGCAAGCGUUAAUCGGAAUUACUGGGCGUAAAGCGUGCGUAGGCGGUUUGUUAAGUCUGUUGUGAAAUCCCCGGGCUCAACCUGGGAAUGGCAAUGGAUACUGGCAAGCUAGAGUGUGUCAGAGGAUGGUGGAAUUCCCGGUGUAGCGGUGAAAUGCGUAGAGAUCGGGAGGAACAUCAGUGGCGAAGGCGGCCAUCUGGGACAACACUGACGCUGAGGCACGAAAGCGUGGGGAGCAAACAGGAUUAGAUACCCGCGUAGUCCCGUCUCUUAUACA
RNAcentral lists this ribosomal RNA (301 nucleotides) under uncultured bacterium. RNAcentral's name for it is "partial 16S ribosomal RNA". It matches the Rfam family "Bacterial small subunit ribosomal RNA", at positions 509 to 808 of the family's 1533-position model. The record is from RNAcentral.